CUCAUCGUGAUUCGUGCAAAUCCUAAAACCCUCCUUAAACCCCCGGAACACACCACUCACAUCGCACAAACACAAAACACCUUGGUCCAAUAAAAAUACUCUCUCUCUCUCUCUCUCUCUCUCUCAAAUACUUUAGAGGGAGAGAGAGGAAUCAAAUCAAGGGAAAAAAAGACAAAAGGACGCAAUGAUGGUAGUUGCUGCUGCAGCUCCAACCCAAGCGGCUCCUCAUGGCUCUUGUCCCUCGUGCCGGAGGCACAUCUCAUCGGAGAUUCGUUUCCACUCCUUAACGAGAGGGAGCAGUGAUGCUUGCUUGAGGGACUUCGCACUGUUCAAGUUUCACGCAGGAGUGAAAUCGCUGUUCUGCACAUUGCUGCUGGAGUACAUUAACCGUUAAGCAGUGUGUGGAGUAGGGAAUGAAGCUGUUGGUCCGUUGAGCAUUUAAAAAAAUGUUACAACUUGAUAUCUCUUGCUCAAGAAUUCGCAGAUCUUGACAUGUAUUUUGGAUUGUCGUCAUUGUACUAGAACUCCAUGGUCAUUCUUUAUGCUGAUUCUGCAAUUGCAUCUGCUACGAUUAAUCUAAUCUUUAAUUUAAUUUUCUCAUUCAGAGUUGUCA
This is a long non-coding RNA of Malus domestica (apple), 613 nucleotides long. RefSeq lists it as uncharacterized. NCBI's taxonomy places the organism in Eukaryota, Viridiplantae, Streptophyta, Magnoliopsida, Rosales, Rosaceae. The record is from RefSeq and is a predicted model, not a curated record.